Molecule: long non-coding RNA, 39505 nt
Filed under: Citrus maxima (pomelo)
Lineage: Eukaryota; Viridiplantae; Streptophyta; Magnoliopsida; Sapindales; Rutaceae
Description: long non-coding RNA (CMAX_LNC003928)
Source: RNAcentral
UAGAUAAGAUCUUGUAAGUGAGAUUUUUUGCAUCUAUGUUAAUUUACCAGGUGAGAUACCACACGAAAUCGCUAAUCUUCGAAAUCUAGAGGCUUUAGUGCUUGGAAUGAACAACCUAGUUGGUAUGGUAUCAGCUACAAUCUUCAACAUGUCAACAGUGAAGGUGAUUAUCCUCAUAAAUAACUCUCUCUCUGGAAGUCUUCCAUCAAGAAUGGACCUUUCACUUCCAACUAUUGAGCAUCUUAACUUGGCACUUAAUAGAUUUUCUGGAACCAUUCCUAGUUCUAUCACCAAUGCUUCUAAGCUCACCUUUCUAGAGUUGGGAGGAAACACAUUUUCGGGCUUUAUUCCAAACACAUUUGGUAAUUUAAGAAACCUUGAGCUGCUCGACUUGGCUAAUAACUACUUGACAUCUUCAACCUCAAAAUUGAGCUUCCUUUCCUCUUUGGCAAAUUGCAAGAAAUUAAGAACCUUAAGAUUAAGUGGCAAUCCACUUGACGGCGUCCUUCCAAGUUCAAUAGGAAAUCUUUCUAAGUCUUUGGAAACACUUGUCAUCGUCAAUUGCAGUAUUAGUGGCAACAUUCCUCGAGCAAUUGGCAAUUUAAGCAACUUGUUGGCCUUAGUAUUAGAAGCCAAUAAAUUGACUGGACCAAUUCCAAUUACAUUCGGCCGACUACAGAAACUCCAAGGCUUAGAUCUUGCAUUCAAUAAGUUGGUAGGUUCAUUCCCAGAUGAGCUUUGCCAUCUAGCUAGGCUGGCUGAAUUGGUCUUAUUUGGCAAUAAGCUUUCAGGAUCUAUACCUUCAUGCCUAAGUAAUCUCACUUCUCUAAGAUCUCUCUACUUAGGGUCCAAUAGGUUUACUUCUGUUAUUCCCUCAACUUUCUGGAGCCUAAAAGACAUCUUGUUCUUUGACUUUUCAUCAAAUUUCUUGGUUGGUCCUCUUUCUUUAGACAUAGGAAAUUUGAAGGUGCUUGUAAGAAUAAAUUUAUCAAAAAAUAACUUAUCCGGUGAUAUCCCAGCCACAAUUGGAGGACUGAAAGAUCUUCAAUUUAUGGACGUAGCAUAUAAUAGAUUGGAAGGCCCAAUUCCUGAAUCAUUUGGUGACUUGACAAGUUUGGAGGUUUUGAAUUUGUCAAAAAAUAAAAUCUCUGGGUCUAUUCCAACAUCCAUGGAGAAACUCUUUUACCUCCGAGAGUUAAAUCUCUCUUUCAAUGAACUAGAAGGUGAGAUUCCCAGUGGAGGAAUUUUUGCCAACUUCACAGCUGAGUCAUUUAUGGGAAAUGAGUUAUUGUGUGGUUUACCAAGUCUUCAAGUCCAACCAUGCAAAGUUAGCAAGCCGAGGACAGAACAUAAAUCAAGGAAAAAGAUACUUCUCAUUGUGAUUGUUUUGCCAUUGAGUAUUGCUCUAACAAUAGCAAUCACACUAGCUCUCAAAUCUAAGCUGAUCGAAUGUGGAAAAAGAAGCACAGUGUUGUCAAAUGAUAGUGUCUUGUCAUCACAAGCAACACUAAGAAGAUUUUCAUACUUAGAACUUUUACAAGCAACAGAUAAUUUUGCUGAAAACAACGUAAUUGGCAUUGGAGGUUUUGGUUCUGUUUAUAGAGCAAGACUUGAAGAUGGGAUGAAGAUUGCAAUAAAAGUGUUUCACCAGCAAUGUGCAAGCGCAUUGAAGAGUUUUGAGGCUGAAUGUGAAGUGUUAAAAAAUAUUCGCCAUCGAAAUCUUCUCAAAGUUAUCAGCAGUUAUUCAAACAAUGACUUCAAAGCAUUAGUCCUAGAAUACAUGUCCAACGGGAGCUUGGGGGAUUGGCUGCAUUCUAGCAAUUAUAUGCUGAAUAUAUUUCAAAGGUUGAACAUAAUGAUUGACGUUGCAUCAGCUUUAGAAUAUCUCCACUUCGAUCAUUCAACUCCUAUCAUUCACUGUGACUUAAAGCCUAGUAAUGUAUUGUUGGACGAAAAUAUGGUUGCUCAUUUGAGUGAUUUUGGCAUAGCAAAGCUUUUAAGUGGAGAGGAUGAGUAUUUGAUGCGAACAAAAACCCUUGCCACUAUAGGUUAUAUGGCACCAGGUUUGCUUCAAACAAUUGUUUUUUUUUAAGUUCAUUUUAAAUUUUCCAAAUCAUUGAUUUUUACGAUCCUCACAUCAAAAUUUUCUUGAUUAUUUAUCUAAUUGUGAAAUUAAUUUUAUUCAUAGAGUACGGCAUAGAAGGAGAAGUAUCUACAAAAAGUGAUGUUUACAGCUAUGGGAUUAUGUUGAUGGAAACUUUUACUAAGAAAAACCCCACAGAUGAAAUUUUUGUUGGAGAAUUGAGCUUAAAGCGUUGGGUUAAUGACUUGCUUCCUACUUCAUUAGUGGAAGUUGUGGACAAAACUCUGCUAAGUGGAGAGGAAAAACAUUCUGCAGUAAAGGAGCAAUGUCUGUUGUCUAUCUUUAGUUUGGCUCUGGAGUGUACAAUGGAAUCACCGGAAAAGAGGAUUAAUGCAAAAGAUGUUGUUACCAGAUUACUCAAGAUAAGAGACACAUUGAGUAAAAGGAUAGGAAACUGAAGUUAAUUUCGUUUGCUUUCAUUGAUAGUUAAUUCAAAUUCAUGUAAUAAGUGUAAGAAUCUUAUAUCCUUUCCUUUGAUUUUUUUUUUUUUUUGAGAAAACUGUUGUAGUCAUCUUGUUUCACUGCCCCCAAUGCUUUGGACACCUACUGGUAGGUUUGUACGUGUCCUCAACUUUUUUUAGGAGCACAAAAUUCGAGUCCCAUGGAGACUCAAACAUUCCUUUCCCACAUCCCGAGCACGCUAAGUUCGAGUGAAAGAGAUUAAUUUACGGAAACUAAAGCCAAGAGAAUAAAGGACAACACUUAUGUGAAGCGACAUAAAUGUAUUGAUAGCACAAUGUCAAAUUCAUACAGAGAUCUAGUAUACUAUUUACAGCCGGUAAGGGCUAAGAAUUGAUGUAGCUAGAAUACAAAGACGAUAAGGUAUGUUGUGCACUAUUGUUUUAUUCUACGAUCAAUCUUGACCCUUGAUGCUUGGCUCUCAAUCUUGUCCAUUGAUCUUCUUUGAUUUUGUACACUUCAAGACCUUUCAGUAUCAUUCCUUGUUGUUGGUGUCUUCCGUGCUGUAGAAUUCAUAUACAAGCCUUCCCGCCGACUUGCGAAGUAUUCGUUCAUUGAUGCAUUUUUAUCAAACAGUUGGCCGACUUGCCAAGUAUCAUGCCUUGUUAUAGGUAGGCUUGGUAGGAUUAUGGGUCGGUCGGUAGAUGUACAUGUGUUAAAGCUUUUGAAUUUAUGCCAAUUGAAAAUAAAAAAGAAUCUACAUAAAUUUUCAACGAGGCUAUUACCACAAUAAGCAUUUGGAUGAAUUAUUAUUGAAUCCUUUCUGAGAAGUAGGACAUGUCAGACAUCAAAGCACUGAGAUAUCUUCAAAUAGUGGUAACCCCCACGCAACAAGGCACAAUAAAUUAUACAGAUAAAAUCCUUCACUCUUUCGUAAUCAUCAGUGUAGGCACGGUGAUGCGUCAGACAGAUAUGGGUCGGAUCCACUCCAGCUCCAUAUCAAGAUUCAUAAACCAUGACAAAAAUAGAGAAUCAUAGGUGUUGCAGAUAGUGAUGGUUGUUGAUGCACUCGUGAUUUAAAAUUUUAUUUUAUAUCUUCAAGUUCGCAUUUUAAGUGUCCUUUUUUUUAAUUUUUUAUUGUGAUCAUUAUAACUUGUCAAAUCUAUUUUUAAAUAAUUUUUUAAAAAUAUUUUAUUAACAAUGAUAUGAAAAUAUUCGAACACCUUUUCAUAGUAAAGUGAAUUAUUAUCCGACGAUCCAACUCAUGUUUUCAAAUUGUAAAUUGCAAAUCGUGUGUUUGCUCCAUUACAGAGUUUCAUCAAUUUGAAAUAGAGAAUCAUUUGUGUUCUAGAUUAAUCGAGGGUCUAUAUCCAAAUCUAAAAAUUGACUAACUUGGUUUCUAUUAAAUUCUUAAUCCUAACAAGAAAAAUAGAAGAUUAAAAAUGACUAAUUUGGUUUCUAUUAAUUUGAGUAACGAUCGAAUUACCUAAUUUAUUAAGAUUUAUCAAAAUCCUAUGUCAAAAUCCAUUAAUGAUAUAGGUUCAAUGACGAAAUAGUCACUUGUUAUUAUUUUUGACUUCAUAAAUAGAUGAACGGAUGUUAUUUUUGGAUUCUGGAGAAUCGAAAAUAUCAGGAUAGGUGAUAAAUGGAAUUAAGUUGUAGAUAAGAUAGAAAUGGAUUUGGAGAGAGAUUGGAAUCCUGGGUAAUCCGGAGUACGUUGUUGUGUUGAAUGCUCGUUGACUUCACGUUGACUGAAACAUUAUUGGAAGAAGUGAGCAAGCUUAUUUUCUUCUCUCAUUUUUUAAAUUUGUCUUAAGUUUAUUGAUGUGAGGCCUUUGAGAUUGUAAGUUUCAAAUCUGAGAAGAAUAACCACACACCCAUUAUCCUAUUACUCUUAUUUUAUCACAUGAAGAGAAUUCGAAGUUUGAUAAAUUUGUGAGGAUUGUGAGGGUUGAUGCAAUAUAAUUUAGAUGCAAAGUGUUUACAAGUACGAUGCUUCAUAAGUGUUCUUGAAUCAUUAUAAACUCACGUUAUUUUUAUAAUGAUUGUUUCAUCUGCACAUGGAUAUAAUCAUAUGUUGAGAUUUUUUCCUAAAUUAUGGUCUUAUUUGGUAUUGAGGUGUUAGAUCUUUUAAGUUACAAUUACUAUUGGAAAAAAAAGUGCAACUAUGAAAUAAAAGUUAAUAUUGUGUACUAAAUAUAAUUGUUAAAUAAUAAUUUUGACAAAAUUAGUGAAGAUAUAUAGGUUUUUUUUUAAUCAUCUAAGUGUAAAAUCAAAUCAACUUAACUUCUAAACUAUAUAGCAGCUACUGUUUACCAAAUACUUUAGUACUGUAACUUUUAAGUUAUAGCUGCCUAACCUCAGUCUCAAACAAUGGCUAUAAAGAUCAAAGAUUUCCUCAUAAAAAUUAUACGUCUUGUGAUUGCUUAUUUAAUUUAUAUUUUUUUAUUUAUCUUUAUUAAUUACAGUCAUCUUUUAAUAAAUUACAAUUGCAGGAAGUUGAUGUUCGAAGUGCUUAUGUCGACUCAAAGUUGUUGGGAAUUAAUGCAUGUAUUGAUUUAUUGGGAGUGUUUAAAUGAUUUUGUGAUUUACUUGAUUGAUUGAUUGAAUAAUGUUUGAUUGCUUCAUAUCCGUUCUAGAAAGUUUAUUUCUUUGUGAAAUUUCAAUGAAAUAUGUUUUUUUAAAUUAUAAGGGUUUUUUAAGUAAUUUUAAAAAUAAAUGAACUAAUAAGGAUUAAUUAUUAGGUAAUUAACUUGAACUAUACAGGGUAAGCGAACAUGUAUCCUAAUUAUAUCAUGAUAAAUCCUUUUCCGAUCAGAAUUAGGAAACCAUAAGUAUAUUGAUUUUUUUUUCCAAUUCUCCUUUGCGAAAACGGAUUACAGAAUUAGAAAACAAUCCUAAUGAUAUUAUUGUUAGGUUUAAAACACUGCAUAGAUAGUAAAAAGCUAACUAGUUCGUAGAGUAAUUUGUUAAUUGCUAUCGCCUCUGCCUGCGCGGUGAAUAAUUUGUUGCAUGCAAAUUUUUUAUUUUAUGCAAAUCGUACUGAACAUUGGAAUUGAUGUAUAAGCAAAAAUACAAGAGUAUUUAUGUCAAUACAAAUUUUUUUUUUCCAUUUUAAAUAAACACAACGCGAUGUUUAUCUGCUCCGCGUUUUUGCAAUCUGUUUAUUCGUUGUUUAUUUGCUUCUUAAGGCCUCAAACUUUGAUAACCAAAAAUUUCACCAAACUAUGAAAAAUAUUCUGCAGGUUAGUUUUUAUUUUCGGAAUAAUUAUUUGAGAAUACUAAAACACAAUAUAAAAUAAGAAAAUAGGGGGUUAAAAUUUGAAAAAAAAACAAAAGGGCAUGUUGGAUAGAUUACUGUAGUUUAAGAAAAAAAUUAUUCAGUUGGGAAUUUUUUUUCUUUAAUUUUUGUUUUACUUAAUUGAGAUUUCUCCUUAAUCCUUACAGUUUUAAAUUUGGAUAACAUAGGAUUAGUAAUUUAGUACUUCCUUUGCAAGCCGAGGUUAAUGAUGAAAUUCUUUUAAGAAAAAAGAUAAAAGAGCAUACCAAUAGUCAAUUAUAAAUAACCACAAAUAAAUACAAACAAAAUGUUUAUGAAGUAAAUUAAAAAUGUGCAUAUUAUUUUUUUUUUAUUUCUUACUAAUCUUUGUAUUUGCUGCUUGAAAAACCAUAAAUACACAGAUGACCAUUGGCUUCGCACCAUUUAAUUGGGAUACAUUUCUACGUACAAACUGAACAAGGCUAUUGAUUUUUAUUAUUAUUUUUAUUUAUUUAUAAAUUACUAUUUCAAUUUUCACUUUUUAUUGGGUUGUUUAAUGGAUUAGUGAGGCUGGUGGUCGUUGAUGCACUCACAAGGUACAAUUUUGUUUUCCAAUUUCAAAUUCGUAUUUUAAAAUGCAGCACAUUAUGUAUACAUAAUUAUUGAUUUUCAUAUGUGGGUGUUUUGAAAUAUUGCUAAAAGACCAAACUUUAAUAAACUAUUUUUGAUCCUUUUUUGUUUCUUUUUUCCUAAAGUUUGAGUGAUAUCCGCAUUUUUAAAAGCUAAUGUAUGCAAAAAAUUCUUUUAUUUUUCUGGGGAAAAUAGGCAAGAGAAAACGUUUUGGCAAAUGAGUUGCAACUGAAUUCAAAACCAAUACGAUGCGAGCAUAGGAAAGAGGUCAGUGUUUUGGAUUUGAAUUUAGUAUUGAGCUGAAUUUUAUGUUUAACACAUGAUUCUAUUAUAGUACUGCGAUUAAUAAGCUCAGCCCCGGAUUUGCUUUUGCUUUUGCUUUUACUUCAAGUGAAAGAAAGAGGAAACCUUUUGUUUUUUCUUUGGUUUUUGACUAUGUUACCUAUACAGAGAGUCAAGAUAUCAGCCAUAAGUGAUGGUGUUAAAAAGAUUAAGCAGCGCACACAAUCUUACUGCUGUCUAGACCAUCCAAUGAUGACUCCAGUCUUUUGGUUACAUUAGCUUUAGUUGAAAUAAGGGCCAAUUUAGCAAACACUAGCUUUGGCGGCUUACUAUGUUUAAUGUAAUGCUUAUUCUCAAGGAAUCUAAUGUUAUAAGAUGAUUGAAUGAUCUUCUAUGAUUGUGAGUAGUAUAGGAUAAUUGAAAAGAGCCUGGCUCCUAUGAUAAAUAACAGUAACACAGUACUGUGAUUGAAAAAGUUCAGUUACAAAAACUUAGUUACAGUAAACUCUUCAUUUAUUCAUUGCGGAGAUUGAAUGGCAAAAAGAGAAUAGAAUGAAGCAGAGGAAUCUCAUUGCCAAUAAAAUUGACCCUCUUUAAUGUUAUAUGGCACAGGUAUGUUUACAUCAAGAACAAGUUACUUACAGUUUUUAUUGUAGUUAAGUUUUGAUGAUUUCAGAUGCUUUUUUUUUUUAAUUGUGACACCUUUGAUUUAUAAUAAUAUUGCAAAUAUAUAUAUAUAUAUAUAUUAGUAGUUUUUUGGUCCGAAAUUUUAAAGUGUGAGAAAGUAUGAGAAAGCUUUAAAACCGCACGGUGUUAAAGGCUUACAGUUUUAAGCAUUUUAAUCCAUGCGGUUUUAAAGUUUUACUGGAUUUUUCCGCACUUUAAAAUUCCAGACUGAAACAUUUCUGUAUAUAUAUACAUAUAAAUAUAUAAAUUAAGAGGGAUGAGUUAACUGAAGAUUAUAAUCAUUACAACAAUGCUGAUGAGUGAUACAUCACUUGAAAUUUACUUAUCAGUUGCUGAAAUGAUGAAAAAAAAACAAUAAACAAUAACAGUGAUAAUGUUCUCUUGCUAAAAUGACUUGUAUAUUAUACAAUCCACUCUACUUAAUGAUAUCGUUUUAAUAAAUGUUUGAUGAUCUCCAUUUAAAAACUACUUCAAUUUUUUUCUUCAUUUAACUUUUUGGUUGUUGAAAAUAACCUUAAUUAUCAAAUAAUUGGAGAAAGAGUAAAGAACAUUUAACAAAUUUAUGUGUAAAAAAAAAAAGGAGAAGUUGAAGAGAAAGGGUGCUUGCAGAAGUAGGUGUCAAAGAUAAAUCGGUCCAUAGGAAUUAUUUGUUGAGAUAUAAUUAAUAAUCUAGUAAAUUGAGCAAGAAGUUUGAAGGGUUAUUUGGUUUGUUUUUCAACAUGAAGUAAAGGGUAGAAUUGAUGUUUGCAAUGUAGCUUUGGAAAUGUAAAGCAUGAUUAAUGUAAUCUCUAGAGUUGUCUAUAAUGCAUAUAAAUAUAGAACUCUGGUUGUAUGAAAAGUAAGAGAGAAACGAAAAAAUGAAUUAAGCAAUAAAGUUUCAGAAAUUUCCAGCAAAAUACUCUGUUCUUAAAUAAAAAUUUUUCUGCACUUCCGCUUGCACCCAACAAAUUUGGUAUCAGAGCUAUUCCAAAACACCCUCAAAAUGACAUCAAACUUCUCCCUGUUUUGAGCUGGAAUAAGAGCAGAAAGCUGUGGGAAAAGGCACUAUUGCUGUCCAUACAAAGGAAGGUACUGAUUUCCUUAUUGUUUGCCUUUAUGUUGAUGCUGCAACAACAAUUUAUUGUGACAACAUGUCAGCCAUUGCUCUAACAAAGAACCCCGUAUUUCAUGCUAAAUCUAAGCACAUUGAGCUGCGUUAUCACUACAUCCGUGACUUAGUAAACAAAGGAGAAGUUAAUAUGGAGUUUAUCAGCACUAAUGAGCAGCCAUCAGAUUUUCUGACCAAAGCAAUCAACAUUGAGAAGUUUGAAAAAUUCAAGAAGCAAUUGAAGAUUACUAAUUAAGAGGGGGUGUUGAGAUAUAAUUAAUAAUCUAGUAAAUUGAGCAAGAAGUUUGAAGGGUUAUUUGGUUUGUUUUUCAACAUGAAGUAAAGGGUAGAAUUGAUGUUUGCAAUGUAGCUUUGGAAAUGUAAAGCAUGAUUAAUGUAAUCUCUAGAGUUGUCUAUAAUGCAUAUAAAUAUAGAACUCUGGUUGUAUGAAAAGUAAGAGAGAAACGAAAAAAUGAAUUAAGCAAUAAAGUUUCAGAAAUUUCCAGCAAAAUACUCUGUUCUUAAAUAAAAAUUUUUCUGCACUUCCGCUUGCACCCAACAUUAUUUUGGUUAUUUUUUAGCAAUAUAAAAAUUUUUUAGCAAGUAAAAAUUAAUUUUUUUCCAAUUUACUAAAAAAUUAACUAAAAACUUCUGCGAUAGCAUUUUUUAUGGGUGCAUAUACCUCCCUUUAAAAAAUAUAUAAUAAUUAAUGCUUAAUAUAGUAUUAAAUACGAAAAUAUCAAUAUUUGACUACUCAAAUUUAUAUCAUUAGGUCCUUAAAAUUUAAAAUUGAAGAUACAAAAGGAAAUAUAUAUAAAUUUCAUUCUCAUGGGAAAGGAUCAUCUUAUAAUCUUAUAAUAUUUGAGUUUUGAAAUAUUUUUUUGAAACAAAUGUACUUUUAUUUGUGUACAAUCAAUAUGUACUUAUUUAUUAUAUUUUUAUUUAUUAACUAUCAAUCAUGUGAGUAUAUUUAGUCAGAAAAAUUAUAUCAAGAGAGAACCCUAAUUUCACGUAAAGACAAAUACAAGACAAAUAUGGCAAUUUCUAUACUAUUCACUUUCCUGUAGAAUCAAUUAUCUAAAAUGCAAGUUUGUGGCUUCAAAAAACUCGCCAAAGAAAGAAGAUAAUUACAAUUGAGCAUUGAUAGCAAAUCUAAUGCAUCCAAUUCUUCUUAACUUGAUGAGUGACGUGAAUACUAGCAGUCUGUAACGCCCAAAUUUUUAUUAUUUUAUUUAUUUUUUAAUGGAAUUUAUAAAUGACAUUUUUGCCCUUAUAAAAACGGUUAUUCAUGGAAUAAUUUUUAGGAAAGGGUUAUUUUUCCAAAUUCAAUAGGGUUUCUUAAGACUCCCUAUAAAUUCAUAUUUUUCUCCUUCCAUAACCCUAAAAGCACGACGUUUCUUCUUCUUCUAUGCUGCUCAUUACGCUCUUACCCAAACCCUAGGAUUCAAACCUUUGGUUAAGAGAGAAUCAAAGCGAUUGGUAAGUUUAUUCCCCUUAUUCUCCACAAGAUUCCCAAUCACUCUAUCUAGGGUUUAUAUUGGCACGAUUUUAGAUUGUUAUAGAUCAUAAUGCAUGAUUUAGAAUGUGUUUAGGCUUUGUUUAGAGUUUUGAUUUAUUAUGAGUUUAGUUAAUCAACCUUGACGUAUUAAGCACAUAGAAUAGUUCCAUAGAAUAUUAUGUUAUUCUGAGUUUUAGAUUAAGAGUUAAAAUUCUGAGCAUCGGACCUGUACGGGUACGAAUUAAAAAAACCAGGUUCUUAGAAUAAGUUAUUAAUUGUCAUAUAUUGUAUUUGUUUAAGGCGUUGGAGGUGAUUGAGGCUCUUAGAGGGUUAGAGGUGUGUUAAUUCAAAUUCUUUUGUCAAGUUAAGUAACUUUAUUCCUAAUGUACUGGAUAUAUAUAUAUGAUUAUUUUGAUAUUAUUAUAAGUAUACGAAUUUUUUUACUACUUAGAAGAUUAAUGGAUUUUCAUAACAAAAUCAGUUUGUGUAAAUGUUUUCAAACCUAAAUUCUUUUUAAUAAAUUAUUUUGUAAAGGCUUUUAAAUAUGUAAGUUAUUUUAUGACAUGACUACCUUUUAUAAUUUUGUCUAUGAAAUAUUUGCAAGCCUAAAUUGUGGUUAUGGACUUUCAUGAAACUGAUACAAAUGUUUUGUACCUAUGUAUGAUUUCAAUUAUUUAUGAUUGUACGGGGGCCACCUCUUGGGACUAUAUGGGGGCCACCUCUUGAAAGCCAAAGCAUCGCAAAGUGCCACAUAUAAGUCAUUAUGUUUUGGCUCAUUGUCCAUAGUUAUUCUGAUUCUGAUUCUGAUCGUAUAAUACGAUAUAUGUCUGUUCUGGACCAGUACUGGGUUUUUGUUUUGAGUGUGCACACGAUAUUCUGAUUCUGUUUUUGGCCGAGUCACCAGGACUAUAGGUGACACUAUGUGACAUGAGCUAACCUUUUGUUUUAUGUGAAUGUGAUAUAUGAUUUGCUUUUGUAAGUAACUAUACUUUUGAUAUUCUGAGUUACAAUGAAUUUAAAUUAUUUUAUAGUGAUAUAUCGUUUUAUGAAAUUUAUGGAUUAUGAUAUAUGUUUUAAUUAAAAGAAGGCUUGCAAUAUUUUUGGUAUCGAUAGGCCUAGUGUGUUAGGAAUAGUUUUACUUACCGAGUUGACGGCUCACCCCUCGUCAUUACUUUUUGCAGAUUAAAUUUCUUUUGAGAGGUGCCCUUAGCUUUGGAGUUAGUAAUUUUCUGUUUCCGUUUGCCAUUUGAAUAAGAUGAGGAAUAGACUCAUGUUUCUAUUUAGUUUAUUUCUGUUAUGGACGUGUAAUUUGGAGUUUGAGACUUUUGUUAUUUUUUUUAUGUCCUCGGGAGAGAUUAUUUAGUAUUAGACGUUUGAAUUUGUGGAUUUAUUCGAAUAAGAAUUUGAGGUAUUUCAGUUUGAAACUUAUGAGUAAAGAUUAUGAUUUGUAAGUAACCUCCUUCUUCACGUGCUCCGCACGUGUUAGAUUUGGGGUGUUACAAUUGUGGUAUCAGAGCAUUAGGUUUGGGAUUCUGUAGACUUUAUUUGAGACUAGAUUUCUUAAGCACAAUCAAUUAGUUCAAUGGUAUUGCUUGCCAUGAGGUUAUCAGAAAGAGUAGAUCUUUAAGGCGAGGAGUAAUUUUGGUCUUUUUGAUUUUCUAGUUGCUUGUGACUUUGUAAUAACUCCUUGAUAUAGGAUUUUGGUAUUAACGUAGAAUGAAAUAUUUGUUUGCUCUUGUUGUCAAUCACUAAUGUUUCUCAGUUAUACUACUUACUCAGUACUUUGCGCACUAGCAAGGCCUUUAACUAUGAAUUAUUUACCGUUUUAUUUAUUUAUUUAUUUUUAUUCUUCGUGUUAUAGUCAAAAGAUGUUGCGUAGGGGAGGUGCUAGGCAUGCCUCUAGCUCGAGAGAUGUUUUAGGAAUCGCUGAUGACGUUGACCCAACCUUGCGUGAGAUGGCUAACGAAGGGAAUCCUAUGAUGCGCGCAAUGGUUAGAUUGAUGGAACAACAAAGUAAGUUGAUUCAAGAUAUGGCUAGAGGUAAAGUUGGGGCACAGGAGAAUGUGCCAGUUGAAAGACAAGGUGGUGGAAGAGAUCAGGGAGGUAUGAUGAGCUUAGAGCGGUUUAGGAAAUUGGGACCACCUACCUUUCAGGGGACUGCCGAUCCUAUGGUUGCAGAGGCAUGGUUAAGACAGAUGGAGAAAAUAUUUAUGGCUAUGGGUUGUAAUGAUGAUCAUAGGGUGAUAUUGGCCUCAUUCGUCCUUUAGGGCGAGGCAGACCACUGGUGGGAUGCCAAAUCCCGUCUUUUGAGGGCCGGGUUACAAGAUGCACCUAUUACUUGGGAGUUAUUUCUGGAGGCUUUUCAUGAAAAAUAUUUUCCUGAACGAGUUCGACAUCAGAUGGAGGUUGACUUCCUGAAAUUGACUCAAGGAACAAAGUUUGUUGCGGAGUAUGAGGAGCAAUUUACUGCUCUAUCUCAUUUUUCUCCUACCUUAGUUGCUAAUGAGGGUAGUAAGUGUAGGAAAUUCUUGGAAGGGUUACAUCCAAACAUCAAAAGACGGUUGACCAUCCUUAAGCUUAAUAAUUAUGCCGAUUUGGUGGAUCGUGCGAUUAUUGCAGAGAGGGAUAUAAUUCAAUCUCAAGUUGCACGAUCUAAUCGACAUAAUAACCAGCCAAUAAAACAUGAUAGUAAUGGUAGCGAAGGUGAACAUAAGGACUCUAAUGGUGGGUCUAUUCAAGAGAACAAACCAUUCUGUAAUCGUUGUGACAAGUACCAUAAUGGCACGUGCUAUUUAAAGAUAGAAGCUUGUUUUGGCUGUGGAAAGAUGGGGCAUAAGGUUAUAGAUUGCCCAAAAAAGCGCAGUGGUAACAUAGAUUCUGCCGAGAACCAAAGGAAAAAGCCAUGUGUCUUCGCCAUGGUGGAGCAAGAUAUUAAGAAACCGAAUAACGAAGCCUCAGGUGCAUUACCUAUUUUCCAUAGAAAGCCUUGAAUUUUUGAGUAAUUGGUAUUGUGCUUUUCCUCCAUCCUUUCUGAUUGGAUGCAUCGUAGCUAGAGUUUUUAGCCUAAUAAUUUCUUUUUUCAUCCAUUGAAUUUCUAUGGUACAUUAGUAGGAUAUGACGUGUGAUUUUAUAAGGCCAUUAGGAUUAACUUAUGGUUGGAUGGAGUAGGGACUAAUAUGAUAUUUAGUAGGAUAUGUGAUGAAGAUUGCAAUAAAAGUGUUUCACCAGCAAUGUGCGAGCGCAUUGAACAGUUUUGAAGUUGAAUGUGAAGUGAUAAAAAAUAUUCGCCAUCGAAACCUUAUCAAUGUUAUUGGCAGUUGUUCGAACGAUGACUUCAAAUCAUUAGUCCUAGAAUACAUGUCCAACGGGAGCUUGGAGGAUUGGCUGCAUUCUAGCAAUUAUGUGCUUAAUAUUUUUCGCAGGUUGAACAUAAUGAUUGACGUUGCAUCAGCUUUAAAAUAUCUCCACUUCGAUCAUUCAACUCGUAUCAUUCAUUGUGACUUAAAGCCUAAUAAUGUGUUGUUGGGUGAAAAUAUGGUUGCUCAUUUGAGUGAUUUUGGCAUAGCAAAGCUUUUAAGUGGAAGAUGAGUCUACGAUGCGAACAAAAACCCUUGCCACUAUAGGUUAUACGGCACCAGGUUUGCUUGAAACAACUUUUUUUUUUAGUUUAUUUUAAAAUUUCCAAAUUAUUGAUUUUUACGAUCCUCAUAUCAAAAUGUUAUUGAUUAUUUAUCUAAUUAUGAAAUAAUUUAAUUCAUAGAGUAUGGCAUAGAAGGAGAAAUAUCUGCAAAAAGUGAUGUUUACAGCUAUGGGAUUAUGUUGAUGGAAACUUUUACCAAGAAAAAACCCACAGAUGAGAUUUUUGUUGGAGAAUUGAGCUUAAAGCGUUGGGUUAAUGACUUGCUUCCUAAUUCAUUAGUGGAAGUUGUGGACAAAAUUCUGAUAAUUGGAGAGGAAAAACAUUUUGCCGCAAAGGAGCAAUGUCUGUUCUCUAUCUUUAUUUUGGCUCUGGAGUGUACAAUGGAAUCACCGGAAAAGAGGAUCAAUACAAAAGAUAUUGUUACCAGAUUACUCAAGAUAAGAGACACAUUGAGUAAAAGGAUAGGAAAUUUAAGUUAAUUUUGUUUGCUUUCAUUGAUAGUUACUUUGAAUUCAUGUAAUAAGUGUAAGAAUCGUUUAUCUUUUCUUUUGAUAUUUUUUUCUUGAGAAAACUGUUGUAGUCAUCUUUUUUCAAUGGGCAGAGUUGAUUUAGUUCUUCCAAGAAAUGCUAUUGUUGAUCUUUGUUAUAUACUUUUGUCUUUUUUUGCAUGCAUUUAGGUAGAAUAGUGGUCUAGCUGCAGGCUAACAAGUCAAGCUACGCUAAAAGGGUAUGAUUUAAUUUAUUAAACCUAACUUCAAGUUCAAGAAUUGUAUCUCAUUGCCACCAAUGCUUUAGACACCUAUUGGUAGGUUUGUGUCCUCAACUUUGUUUAGAGCAAAAGUUCCAGUCCCAUGGAGGCUCAAAUAUUCCUCUCCUACGUCCCGAACACACUAAAUUCAUCAGCCUCUUGAACCCUCUCCUGAGGGCGCCUUCUGUCCUCUGUUUUCUGUUUCCAUACACAAAUAGCAAAAAGAAUUCAGAAUGACAACUGGGACAUAUAUAAGAGUGAAAUAAUUAAAAAAAAUUAUGCUUUUUUGUUUGUCGUGUUAAAAUCGUAAGGUAUCUAAGUACUAUGAAAGAGAUUAGUUUACGAAAACUGAAGCCAAGGGUUCAUAAAAAAGUGCAAAGAGAAUAAAGGACAACGCUUAUGUAAAGCGACAUAAUUGUAUUGGUAGCACAAUGUCACGUUCAUACAGAGAUCAAGUACAUUAUUUACAGCUGGUAAGGGCUAAGAAUUGAUGUAGCUAGAAUACAAAUAUGAUAAGGUAUGUUGUGCACUAUUGUUUUAUUCUACAAUCAAUCUUGACCCUUGAUGCUUGGCUCUCAAUCUUGUCCAUUGAUCUUCUCUGAUCUCGAAAACUUCAAGACCUUUCAAUCUCAUGCCUUAUUAUUGGUAUGUUCUAUGCUGUUAAUUUCAAAUACUAGCUUUUCCGCCAACUUGCCAAUUAUUUGUUCAUUGGUGCGUUCUGUCAAACAGUGUGGAUACUUAUACCAAACGCUUUCUGUUUUAACUCCCCCUUUCAAGCUCAACUAUCUGGGAAGACACUAAUAAGCUUGUUUCUCAAGUAUAUGUAUCUGAAAAUUAAAUUUUCAAAAUUAUAUUCGGACUCUACAUUUUCUAAUGAACAUUGGUUUGGCUCAUAAGCUUAUUAUACUUGGGCUUGGUAGGAUUAUCGGUCGGUAGAUGAACAAGUGUUAGAGCUUUCGAAUUUAUGCCAAUUAAAAAAAAAUCUAUAUAAAUUUUCCACUAGGCUAUUACCACAAUAAACAUUUGGAUGAACUAUUAUUGAAACCUUAUUGAGAAGUAGGACAUGUCGCAUACCAAUGCACUGACAUAUCUUCAAAUAGUGGUAACUCCACACAACAUGGCACAAUAAAUUAGAGUUAUAUAGAUAAAAUCUUUCACUCUUUGGUAAUCAUCAAUGUCGGCAUGGCAAUGCGUCCGACAAAAUUCAUAAAUCAAAACAAAAAUAGAGAAUCAUAUUUGUUUCAGAUUGUAGUGAUGGUUGUUCAUAAUUCACAAUUUUAUUUAAUAUCUUCAAAUUCGCAUUUUAAAAUGCACAAAUGUUUGUGUAUACAUAAUUAGUAAUCGAUUCUCAAGCUUGGACAUUUAAAAGCACUGCUAAAAGACAAAAUUUUAAUUCACUAUUUUUUGUCUUUUAAUUUUCUUUAAGUUUUAAUGAUUCCGCAUUUUAAAAUCCUGUGGAACGUACAUGUAAAAUUCUUUUAUCUUUUAGAGGAAAAUGGGCAAGAGAAGAAGAUUUGGCAAAGGAAUUGCAACCGCAUUUGGAGCUAGUUUUAAUUUUGUCUUUUAAUUCUUUUACACUUGGCUUUUGUUAUUGAUGUCAACUUCGAUGUGUGUGCGUGUGCGACUGAAUUCAACUUACAUGCUAUUGAUGCAGCCACCAAAAAGGGGUGGUCCAUCAUCAAUCAACAAGGUUUAUUAUUAUUUCCAUAUUGAUUUUCUUAAUUAUAAAUAAUACUAAUGUUAUUUCAUAGUUAUAAAUAUAUUAGAAUUAAUCGAAAUCAUUUUUUAGUGUGGCAUGGCUAAAACUACCUUUUUUUUUUAUAAGUAAUUACUACUUUCACAUUAAGAAAAAUACUCCUAUUUUUAAGGAAAAGUCAAGUACCUGUAGUUGUGAAGACUCAAGCUCACUCCCUUAUGAUAAAUCUUCAUAUUAAUUACGUAAAUAUCCUCUAAAAUUUUAAAUUAGCUAUUCAAAAUUUGAUGUUAUACGGGUAUUUCAUUUAUUUGAGUAGGGGUUAGGGGUCAAUUGGAUACAAAUUCAAAAUUAUCCUUACUUGAGAAGGUGAUAAAAAUUGGGGAUUUAGUUUGGAUGUCAUUAGCUACAAAUAUUAAACUCAUACAUUUAAUUCAAAAUUAGAGGGCUGAUAUGUGCGCAUCAUCGUCCACGUUAUAGUGACACUGCGUCACCAUUCCACAACCUCUCCAAUGAAAAAUUGACAUGCUUCUUGUGCGCAUCUAAUCAGAAUCUUGAAAAUUAAUCACAAAAUUGUACUUUUAUUAUAAAAAGAAUAAAGAAACUCCAAGAAAAAAAAAAAGACUUACAUAAAUAGAUUGAAAAAUCUAGAUUUCAAGUUGUCUAUAUUAGCUUGAUAUUUUUAUUAAUAGUCAUCCUCCCAAAAAAAUUCCAUCAAAAUAUAUUUUAAUUUUAUGUUAAUUCAUAAACAUGAAAAAAUCAUUUUAGAAUUAAUUAAAACAUAAUUUAUUGUUGCUCAAAAAAGGUAGAACUUAGUUAUCAGAAAAAAGUGUCUAAAAUAUAUGUUAAAAAAAAAUCAUGGUUGGUUGGACUGAUUGAAUUUUUUUUUUCUUUUUUAAGAAUUAAGACAAUUGGAUGGAUUGAGUAAUAAUAAUACAUAUUUAUUUGGCAAAUGGCAGGGAGGCUUUCGUCUGAUGCAGAUUGAUUAGAGAGAAAAUAUAACAAUUUUAAGCUCGUCAGAUUCGAAGCUGCUUACCUGUCGUGUGGGGAUCACUUCCGUGUCUUAUUUUUCUAGAAAAAUCUGGACCAUUGGAUUUACCAUUAGUCAAUAGAGAAAUGUUGAUCUUGAUUCUUGAUCAAGAUCGAAGUUUGAUUCUAACUAACACGAUAUCAGAUUGCGAAGCAAGCAAAUUGAAAGUCACUUGUUCUAUGGAAGAAACACAAGUUCUAAUAAAACAUUCUCAUAGUAAAGUGAAUUACCAUCCAACGAUCCAACUCAUGUUUUCAAAUUGUAAAUUGCAAAUCGUGUGUUUGCUCCAUUACAGAGUUUCUUCAAUCUGAAAUAGCGAAUCAUUUGUGUUCUAGAUUAAUCGUGGGUCUAUAUCCAAAUCUAAAAAUUGACUAACUUGAUUUCUAUUAAAUUCUUAAUCCUAACAAGAAAAAUUGAAGAUUAAAAACGACUAAUUUGGUACCAUACCACUAUUGUAACAUAGGUAGAUCCUCUAUUAAUUGGAGUAAAGAUUGAAUUAUCUCAUUUAUUAAGGUUUAUCAAAAUCUUGUGUCAAAAUCUAUUAAUGAUAUAGGUUCAAGGAUGAAAAAGUCACUGCAUUACUUUUGAGUUCCCAAAUAGAUGAAUGGAUGUUAUUUUUAGAUUCCGGAGAGUCGAAAAUAUUAAGAUAGGUGCUAAAUCGAAUUAAGUUGUAGAUACGAUAGAAAUGGAUUUGGAGAGAUUGGAAUCCUAGGUAAUCCGGUGCACGUUGUCGUGUUAAAUUCUCGUUGACUUCACGUUGACUGAAGCAUUAUUGGAAGAAACAAGUUUAUUGAUGUGAGGCCUUUGAGGUUGUAAGUGUUAAAUCUGAGAAGAAUACCCACACACCCAUUAUCCUAUUACUCUUAUAUCACAUGAAGAGAAUUCAACAUUUGAUUCACACGGAAAAAAUUUGUGAGGAAUGUGAGGGUUGAUGGAAUAUAAUUUAGAUACAAAGUGUUUACCAGUGCGAUGCUUCGCAAGUGUUCUUGAAUCAAUAUAAACUCACAUUAUUUUCAUAGUGAUUGUUUCAUCUGCACGUUAAUAUAAUCACAUGUCGAGAUUUUUUUCCUUAAAUUAUGGUCUUAUUUAGUAUUGAGGUGUUAUAUCUUUUAAGGUACAAUUAUUGUUGGAAAAAAGUUACAACUAUCAAAUAAAAUUAAUACUAUGUGCUAAAUAUAAUUGUUAAAUAAUAAUUUUGACAAAAUUAGUGAAGUUAUAUAGAUUUUUUUCAUCAUCCAAGUAUAAAAUCAAAUCAACUUAACUUCUAAGUUAUAUAUCGGCUACUGUUUAUCAUAUGUUUUAGUUUUGUAACUUUUAAAUUAUAGUUACCCAACCUCAAUUCUAAACAAGACCUAUAAAGAUCAAAGAUUUCCUCAUUAAAUUAUAUGUCUUGUGAUUGCUUAUUUAAUUUAUAUUUUUGUUAUUUAUCUUUAUUAAUUAUAAUCAUCUUUUUAUAAAUUAAAAUUGAAGGAAGUUGAUUGAUGUUGUUGACACACACACGCACGCGCACGCACACACUCACAAAGAUAUAUUGGAAGUGCUUACGUCGACUCGAAGUUGUUGGGAAUUAAUGCAUGUAUUGAUUUAUUGGGAGUGUUUAAAUGAUUUUGUGAUUUACUUGAUUUAUUGAUUGAAUAUUGUUUGAUUGCUUCAUAUCCAUUCUAGAAAGUUUAUUUCUUUGUGAAAGUUCAACGAAAUAUGUUUUUUUUUUUAAAUAAGGGUGUUCUAAAUAAUUUUAAAAAAUAUAUGCUUGUCUUCCCAAAAUAGCCUUUGAAUACACAAGUAAAUGUCUAGCCUUUGGUGAGGAUAGUUUGGUCAUUGCAUUUUACAAGUAAGAUGAGUGGUGGAGAAAAAUGAGGAGUGCACAUAACUCUUCAGCAAAUCCCACCAACAAUUCCAUUUUCUUAAUUAAUUAAUCUCCUUUUUUAUCCCCAAACAAAUCCUAAUGAUACUAUUAUCAGGUUUAAAACAGUACACAAAUAGUGAAAAGCUAACUAGUCUGUAGAGUAAUUUGCUAAUUGCUAUCUCCUCUCUAUGCUCGCUGAAUAAUUUGUUGCAUGCAAACUUUUUAUUUUAUGCAAAUCAUACGUACUGUAACAUUGGAAUUGAUGUAUAAGCAAAAAUACAAUAAUAUUUAUGUCAAUACAAAUAGUUUUUUUUCCCUUUUUAAAUAAACACAACGCGAUGUUGCUCUGCUCUACAUUUUUGCUAUCUCUUUAUUAUUAUUAUUUUUUUUUGGGCUUCUUAAAGCCUCAAACUUUGAUAACCAAAACUUCAUCGACCUAUGAAAAAAUCUGCAGAUUAGUUUUUAUUAUCGGAAUAAUUGUUUGAGAAUACUAAAACAAAAUAUAAAAUAAGAAAAUACGGGGUUAAAUUUGGGGAAAACAAAAAGGCAUGUUGGAUAGAUUACUAUAGUUUAAGGGGAAAAAAAAAUUCAAUUGGAAAUUUUUUUCUUUAAUUUUUGUUUUACUUGAUUGAGAUUUCUCCUUAGUCCUUACAGUUUUAAGUUUGGAUGCCGUAGGGUUAGUAAUUUAGUAUUUCCCUUGCAAGCUGAGCUUAAGGAUGAAAUUUCUUUUAAGAAAUUAAAAAAGAUUAAAAAAAGCAUACCAAUAGGUAAUUAUAAAUAACCAUAAAUAAACAUAAACAAAAUGUUUAUGAAGUAAAUUACACAUGCACAUAUUAUUUUUUUGUUAUAUUUCUUACUUGUCUAUUUUAUUUGCUGCUUGAUAACCCGUAAAUACUAAUCUAGUACUGCUAAUUUCAGACACAAAAUGUUUAACUCUAGGCUGCAGUUUUACUCAAAAUGAUGACCACUGGCUUCGCACCAUUUAACCGGCAUACAUUUCUACAAAUUGAACAAGGCUAUUGAUUUUCAUUAUUAUUUUUUAUUUAUUUAUAAAUUACUAUUUUAAUUUUCACUUUUUAUUGGGUUGUUUACAGAUUAGUGAAGUUGGUGGUCGUGAUGCACUCACAAGGUACAAUUUUAUUUUAUAAUUUCAAAUUUGUAUUUUAAAAUGCAGGUACAUUAUGUAUACAUAAUUAUUGAUUUUCAUAUGUGGGUGUUUUGAAAUAUUGCUAAAAGACCAAACUUUAAUAAACUAUUUUUUAUCUUUUUUUUUCCUAAAGUUUGAGUGAUAUCCGCAUUUUAAAUUCAUGUGGAACAAAAGCUAAUGUAUGCUCAAAAUUCUUUUAUUUUUUCCGAGAAGAAUGGGUAAGAGAAGAAGAUUUUUCUGUUGAAAAAGAAAAACUAAUACGAUGCAAGCAUAGGAAAGAGGUCAGUGUUUUGGAUUAGAAUUUAGUAUUGAGCUGAAUUUUAUACUAAACUCUUUUAUAGUACUGCGAUUAAUAAACUCAUGAUUUGCUUUUGCUUUUACUUCAAGUGAAAGAAAGAGGAAACCGUUUGAUUUUUGUUUGAUUCUUGACUAUAGAUGUUACCUAUAUAGAGAGUUGAGGUAGCUGCCUUAAGUGAUGGUUAUAAAAAGAUUAAGCAGCGCACACAAUCUUACUGUCGUCCAGACCAUCCAGCUAUGAUGACUCUAGUUUUUUGGUUACAUUAACUUUAGUGGAAAGGAGGGCCAAUUUAACAAAGACUAGAUUUGGUGGCUUACUAUAAUGCUUAUUCUCAGGGAAUCUAAUGUUAUAAGAUGAUUUAAUGAUCUUCUAUGAUUGUGAGUAGUAUAGUAUAAUUGAAAAGAGCUUGGGCUCCUAUGAUGAAUAUUUAAUAGUAACACAGUACUGUUAUUGAAAAAAACACAGUUACAAUAAACUCUUCAUUUAUUCAUUGUGGAGAUUGAAUGGCAAACAGAGAAUAAAAUGAAGCAGAGGAAUCUCAUUGCCAGUAAAAUUGACCCUCUUUAAUGUUAUAUGGCACAGGUGUGUGUACAGCAAGAUCAAGUUACUUGCAGUUUUUAUUGUAAAAUAUAUAGGUUAUGACCAUGAUCAUUGUAGUUAGGUUUUGAUGAUUUUAGAUGCUUUUUUUAUUUUUUUUAAAAUUGUGACACCUUUGAUUUAUGGUAGCUUUGCAGAAGAAAAAUAUAUAUAUAUAAAUUAGGAGGGAUGAGUUAACUAACGAUUGCAAUCAUUACAGUAAUGUUGAUGAGUGAUACAUCAUUUGAAAUUUACUUGUCAGUUACUGAAAUGAUGAAAAAAAACAAUAAACAAUAGCAGUAAUAUUUUUAUGGAAAAUCUUGGUUUUUAUGGAAAUACUCUUGCUGAAAUUCUAAUUUUGACUUUCAACUCUUGGUUUUUAUGGAAAGUAAAAUGACUUGUUUGUUAUAUUCAUACAAUCCACUCUACAUAAUGAUUUCAUUUUAAUAAAUGCUUGAUGAUCUCCACUGAAAAACUACUUCAAUUCUUUUGUUUUAUUUAACUUUUUGGUUGUUGAAAAUAGCCUUAAUUUUCAAAUAAUUGGAGAAAGAGUAAAGAACAUUUAACAAAUUUAUGUGCCAAAAAUAAAGGAGAAAUUGAAGAGAAAGGGUGCUUGCAGAAGUGGGUGCAAAGAUAAAUCAGUCCAUAAGAAUUAUUGUGGUUAUUAAGUUUUUGGCAAUAUAAAAAUUUUUCAGCAAAUAAAAAUUGAUUUUUUCCGAUUUACUAAAAAAUUAAUUAAAAACUUCGGUGAUAGCAUUUUUUAUGGGUGCAUGUACCCUCCCUUUAAAAAAAAUAUAAUAAUUAAUACUUAAUAUAGUAUUAAAUACGAAAAUAUCAAUAUUUGACUACACAAAUUUAUAUCAUUAGGUCCUUAAAAUUUAAAAUUGAAGACACAAAAUGAAAUAUAUAUAAAUUUCAUUCUCACAGGAAAGGAUCCUCUUAUAAUCUUAAAAUAUUUGAGCUUUGAAAGAUUUUUUAAAACAAAUGUACUUUUAUUUUUGUACAAUCAAUAUUUACUUAUUUAUUAUAUUUUUAUUCAUUAACUAUCAAUCAUGUGAGUAUAUUUACUCAGAAAUAUCAUAUCAAGGAAGAAUCUUGAUCCCACGCACACACAAAUAUGUUAAUUUCUAUACGCUUCACUUACCUGUAGAAUCAAUUAUCUAAAAUGCAAGUUUGUGGCCACAAAAAAAGCCAAAGAAAGAAGAUAAUAACAAUUGACUUGUAUAUUAUACUCAUACAAUCCACUCGACAUAAUGAUAUCAUUUUAAUAAGGCAAUGGCUGAUGAUCUCCAUUGAAAAACCAAUUCAAUUUUUUUGCUUCAUUUAACUUUUUGGUUGUUGAAAAUAACCUUAAUUAUCAAAUAAUUGGAGAAAGAGUAAAGAACAUUUAACAAAUUUAUGUGCAAAAAAAAAAAAAAAAAAAGGAGAAGUUGAAGGGAAAGGGUGCUUGCAGAAGUGGGUGUCAAAGAAAAAUCUGUCCAUAAGAAUUAUUGCGGUUAUUUUUUGGCAAUAUAAAAUUUUUAUAGCAAGUAAAAAUUAAUUUUUUCCAAUUUACUAAAAAAUUAACUAAAAACUUCUGCGACAACAUUUUUUAUGGGUGCAUAUACCCGCCCUUUAAAAAAAAAAAUAAUUAAUGCUUAAGUUAGUAUUAAAUACGAAAAUAUCAAUAUUUGACUACUCAAAUUUAUAUCAUUAGGUCCUUAAAAUUUAAAAUUGAAGAUACUAAAGGAAAUAUAUAUAAAUUUCAUUCUCAUGGAAAGGAUUCUCUUAUAAUCUUAUAAUAUUUGAGUUUUGAAAUUUUUUUGAAACAAAUGUAAUUUUAUUUGUGUACAAUCAAUAUUUACUUAUUUAUUAUAUUUUAAUUUAUUAACUAUCAAUCAUGUAAGUAUAUUUAGUCAGAAAAAUUAUAUCGAGAGAGAAUCCUAAUUUCACGCAAACACAAAUACAAGACAAAUAUGUUAAUUUCUAUACUAUUCACUUUCCUGUAGAAUCAAUUAUCUAAAAUGCAAGUUUGUGGCUAUAGAAAACUCGCCAAAGAAAGAAGAUAAUAACAAUUGAGCAUUGAUAGCAAAACUAAUGCAUCAUUUUCUUCUUGACUUGAUGAGAUGGUGCCAUUACAAAACAAUAAUUACCUUAAUUGACGGGCACUGAGUGAUGUGAAUACUACCAGCCAGUUCAUCUCUUCCAGUCUUGCUUAAUCACAAUCACAAACACCACGAGAUUGACAUUUGCAUUAUAUAUAUCUUCAGCAAUCGAAACACCUUGCAUUACCAAAUUAACCGGUAACAAACAAAGCAACCUUUCAUGGAGAGAAACUUUAGUCUCAGUAUGAUCACUGUGUCAUUAACCCACUUCCUGCUUCUUUGCUUGGUUGUUGCAGCAGCAGCAGCAGCAGCAAGCAACAAUAUUACCACAGACCAACAAGCUCUUCUUGCCCUGAAAGAUCAUAUAACUUAUGAUCCAACCAAACUUUUUGCCCAUAAUUGGACCUCGAAUACCUCUGUUUGCACCUGGAUUGGCCUCAGUUGUGAUGUCAAUAGCCAUAGAGUCACAGCCUUAGAUAUUUCUCAAUUCAAUAUACAAGGCACCAUCCCUCCUCAACUUGGAAACCUCUCUUCACUCACAACACUUAAUCUUAGUCGUAAUAAGCUUUCUGGAAGCAUUCCCCCCUCCAUCUACACCAUGCAUACGCUAAAAUUUCUAGACUUCACUGAUAACCUGCUCUCUGGUUCAGUGUCUUCCUCCGUCUUCAACAUGUCUUCAAUAUUAGACAUUCGUUUGACCAAUAACAGACUUUCUGGUGAGCUUCCGAAAAAUAUUUGCAACUAUCUUCCUUACUUGAAAGCCCUUUUUCUGGACAAAAACAAGUUGCAUGGCAAAAUUCCUUCAGCUUUAUCAAAUUGCAAACAACUGCAACAAUUGCAUUUGCAGUUCAAUAAUUUAUCCGGUGCAAUACCGAAAGAAAUCGGCAACUUGACUAUGCUCAAAUGGAUAGAUCUCGGCUACAACAAACUCCACGGUAUGUUUCAUAAUGCUAUCUAAAUAUUUUAAUUUAUCACUUGUUUAUUUUAAUUUCUCACUUGUUAUUUUUCUUGAAUACUUUAGAUAAGAUCUAGUAAGUGAGAUUUUUUGCAUCUAUGUUAAUUUACCAGGUGAGAUACCCCCCGAAAUCGCUAAUCUUCGAAAUCUAGAGGCUUUGGUGCUUGGAAUGAACAACCUAGUGGGUGUGUUACCAGCUACAAUCUUCAACAUGUCAACACUGAAGGUAGUUAUCCUCAUUAAUAACUCUCUCUUCGGAAGUCUCCCAUCAAGAAUAGACCUUUCACUUCCAACUAUUGAGCACCUUAACUUGGCACUUAAUAGAUUUUCUGGAACCAUUCCUAGUUCCAUCACCAAUGCUUCUAAGCUCACCUUUCUAGAGUUGGGAGGAAACACAUUUUCGGGCUUUAUUCCGAACACAAUUGGUAAUUUAAGAAACCUUGAGUGGCUCAGCUUGGGUAAUAACUACUUGACAUCUUCAACCUCAAAAUUGAGCUUUCUUUCCUCUUUGGCAAAUUGCAAGAAAUUAAGAGACAUAGGCUUAACAGGCAAUCCACUCGACGGUAUCCUUCCAAGUUCAAUAGGUAAUCUUUCCAUGUCUUUGAAAACACUUUACAUCGGCAAUUGCAGUAUUAGUGGCAACAUUCCUCAAUCAAUUGGCAAUUUAAGCAACUUAUUGGCCUUAGUAUUAGAAGGCAAUAAAUUGACCGGACCAAUCCCAACUACAUUCGGCCAACUGCAGAAACUCCAAGGCUUAUUUCUUACAUUCAAUAAGUUGGUAGGUUCAUUCCCAGAUGAGCUUUUCCAUCUAGCUAGGCUGGAUAAAUUGGUAUUAUUGGGAAAUAAGCUUUCAGGAUCUAUGCCUUCAUGCUUAAGUAACCUCACUUCUCUGAGAUCUCUCUACUUAGGGUCCAAUAGGUUUACUUCUGUUAUUCCCUCAACUUUCUGGAGCCUAAAAGACAUCUUGUUCUUUGACUUUUCAUCAAAUUUCUUGGUUGGUACUCUUUCUUUCGACAUAGGUAAUUUGAAGGUGCUUCUAGGAAUAAGUUUAUCAGAAAAUAACUUAUCGGGUGAUAUGCCAGCCACAAUUGGAGGGAUAAAAAAACCUUCAAAUUAUGGACCUAGCAUAUAAUAGAUUGGAAGGGCAAAUUCCUGAAUCAUUUGGUGACUUGACAAGUUUGGAGGUUUUGAAUUUGUCAAAUAAUAAAAUCUCUGGGUCUAUUCCAAAAUCCAUGGAGAAACUCUUUUACCUCCGAGAGUUAAAUCUCUCUUUCAAUGAACUAGAAGGUGAGAUUCCUAGUGGAGGAAUUUUUGCCAACUUCACAGCUGAGUCAUUUAUGGGAAAUGAGUUAUUGUGUGGUUUACCAAAUCUUCAAGUCCAACCAUGCAAAGUUAGCAAGCCGAGGACAGAACAUAAAUCAAGGAAAAAGAUACUUCUCAUUGUGAUUGUUUUGCCAUUGAGUAUUGCUCUAACAAUAGCAAUCACUCUACCUCUCAAAUCUAAGCUGAUCGAAUGUGGAAAAAGAAGCACAGUGUUGUCAAAUGAUAGUGUCUUGUCAUCACAAGCAACACUAAGAAGAUUUUCAUACUUAGAACUUUUACAAGCAACAGAUAAUUUUGCUGAAAACAACGUAAUUGGCAUAGGAGGUUUUGGUUCUGUUUACGGUGGAAGACUUGAAGAUGGGAUGAAGAUUGCAAUAAAAGUGUUUCACCAGCAAUGUGCAAGCGCAUUGAAGAGUUUUGAGGCUGAAUGUGAAGUGUUAAAAAAUAUUCGCCAUCGAAACCUUAUUAAAGUUAUCAGCAGUUAUUCAAACAAUGACUUCAAAGCAUUAGUUCUAGAAUACAUGUCCAACGGGAGCUUAGGGGACUGGCUGCAUUCUAGCAAUUAUGUGCUGAAUAUAUUUCAGAGGUUGAACAUAAUGAUUGAUGUUGCAUCAGCUUUAGAACAUCUCCACUUCGAUCAUUCGACUCCUAUUAUUCAUUGUGACUUAAAGCCUAGUAAUGUAUUGUUGGACGGAAAUAUGGUUGCUCAUUUGAGUGAUUUUGGCAUAGCAAAGCUUUUAAGUGGAGAGGAUGAGUCUAUGAUGCGAACAAAAACCCUUGCCACUAUAGGUUAUAUGGCACCAGGUUUGCUUCAAACAACUUUUUUUUUUUAGUUCAUUUUAAAUUUUGCAACUUAUUGAUUUUUACGAUCCUCACAUCAAAAUGUUAUUGAUUAUUUAUCUAAUUUUGAAAUUAAUUUGAUUCAUAGAGUACGGCAUAGAAGGAGAAGUAUCUACAAAAAGUGAUGUUUACAGCUAUGGGAUUAUGUUGAUGGAAACUUUUACCAAGAAAAAACCCACAGAUGAAAUUUUUGUUGGAGAAUUGAGCUUGAAGCGUUGGGUUAAUGACUUGCUUCCUACUUCAUUAGUGGAAGUUGUGGACAAAACUCUGCUAAGUGGAGAGGAAAAACAUUCUGCAGCAAAGGAGCAAUGUCUGUUGUCUAUCUUUAGUUUGGCUCUGGAGUGUACAAUGGAAUCACCGGAAAAGAGGAUUAAUGCAAAAGAUAUUGUUACAAGAUUACUCAAGAUAAGAGACACAUUGAGUAAAAGGAUAGGAAAUUUAAGUUAAUUUCGUUUGCUUUCAUUGAUAGUUAAUUCGAAUUCAUGUAAUAAGUCUAAGAAUCUUAUAUCUUCAAAUUCGCAUUUUAAAAUGCACAAAUGUUUGUGUAUACAUAAUUAGUAAUCGAUUCUCAAGCUUUGGACAUUUAAAAGCACUGCUAAAAGACAAAAUUUUAAUUCACUAUUUUUUUGUCUUUUAAUUUUCUUUAAGUUUUAAUGAUUCCGCAUUUUAAAAUCCUGUGGAACGUGCAUGUAAAAUUCUUUUAUCUUUUAGAGGAAAAUGGGCAAGAGAAGAAGAUUUGGCAAAGGAAUUGCAACCGCAUUUGGAGCUAGUUUUAAUUUUGUCUUUUAAUUCUUUUACACUUGGCUUUUGUUAUUGAUGUUAACUUCGAUGUGUGUGCGUGUGCGACUGAAUUCAACUUACAUGCUAUUGAUGCAGCCACCAAAAAGGGGUGGUCCAUCAUCAAUCAACAAGGUUUAUUAUUAUUAAUUUCCAUAUUGAUUUUCUUAAUUAUAAAUAAUACUAAUGCUAUUUCAUAGUUAUAAAUAUAUUAGAAUUAAUCGAAAUCAUUUUUUAGUGUGGCAUGGCUAAAACUACCUUUUUUUUAUUAUAAGUAAUUACUACUUUCACAUUAAGAAAAAUACUCCUAUUUUUAAGGAAAAGUCAAGUACCUGUAGUUGUGAAGACUCGAGCUCACUCCCUUAUGAUAAAUCUUCAUAUUAAUUACGUAAAUAUCCUCUAAAAUUUUAAAUUAGCUAUUCAAAAUUUGAUGUUAUACGGGUAUUUCAUUUAUUUGAGUAGGGGUUAGGGGUCAAUUGGAUACAAAUUCAAAAUUAUCCUUACUUGAGAAGGUGAUAAAAAUUGGGGAUUUAGUUUGGAUGUCAUUAGCUACAAAUAUUAAACUCAUACAUUUAAUUCAAAAUUAGAGGGCUGAUAUAUGCGCAUCAUCGUCCACGUUAUAGUGACACUGCGUCACCAUUCCACAACCUCUCCAAUGAAAAAUUGACAUGCUUCUUGUGCGCAUCUAAUCAGAAUCUUGAAAAUUAAUCACAAAAUUGUACUUUUAUUAUAAAAAGAAUAAAGAAACUCCAAGAAAAAAAAAAGACUUACAUAAAUAGAUUGAAAAAUCUAGAUUUCAAGUUGUCUAUAUUAGCUUGAUAUUUUUAUUAAUAGUCAUCCUCCCAAAAAAAUUCCAUCAAAAUAUAUUUUAAUUUUAUGUUAAUUCAUAAACUUGAAAAAAUCAUUUUAGAAUUAAUUAAAACAUAAUUUAUUGUUGCUCAAAAAAGGUAGAACUUAGUUAUCAGAAAAAAGUGUCUAAAAUAUAUGUUAAAAAAAAAUCAUGGUUGGUUGGACUGAUUGAAUUUUUUUUUCUUUUUUAAGAAUUAAGACAAUUGGAUGGAUUGAGUAAUAAUAAUACAUAUUUAUUUGGCAAAUGGCAGGGAGGCUUUCGUCUGAUGCAGAUUGAUUAGAGAGAAAAUAUAACAAUUUUAAGCUCGUCAGAUUCGAAGCUGCUUACCUGUCGUGUGGGGAUCACUUCCGUGUCUUAUUUUUCUAGAAAAAUCUGGACCAUUGGAUUUACCAUUAGUCAAUAGAGAAAUGUUGAUCUUGAUUCUUGAUCAAGAUCGAAGUUUGAUUCUAACUAACACGAUAUCAGAUUGCGAAGCAAGCAAAUUGAAAGUCACUUGUUCUAUGGAAGAAACACAAGUUCUAAUAAAACAUUCUCAUAGUAAAGUGAAUUACCAUCCAACGAUCCAACUCAUGUUUUCAAAUUGUAAAUUGCAAAUCGUGUGUUUGCUCCAUUACAGAGUUUCUUCAAUCUGAAAUAGCGAAUCAUUUGUGUUCUAGAUUAAUCGUGGGUCUAUAUCCAAAUCUAAAAAUUGACUAACUUGAUUUCUAUUAAAUUCUUAAUCCUAACAAGAAAAAUUGAAGAUUAAAAACGACUAAUUUGGUACCAUACCACUAUUGUAACAUAGGUAGAUCCUCUAUUAAUUGGAGUAAAGAUUGAAUUAUCUCAUUUAUUAAGGUUUAUCAAAAUCUUGUGUCAAAAUCUAUUAAUGAUAUAGGUUCAAGGAUGAAAAAGUCACUGCAUUACUUUUGAGUUCCCAAAUAGAUGAAUGGAUGUUAUUUUUAGAUUCCGGAGAGUCGAAAAUAUUAAGAUAGGUGCUAAAUCGAAUUAAGUUGUAGAUACGAUAGAAAUGGAUUUGGAGAGAUUGGAAUCCUAGGUAAUCCGGUGCACGUUGUCGUGUUAAAUUCUCGUUGACUUCACGUUGACUGAAGCAUUAUUGGAAGAAACAAGUUUAUUGAUGUGAGGCCUUUGAGGUUGUAAGUGUUAAAUAUGAGAAGAAUACCCACACACCCAUUAUCCUAUUACUCUUAUAUCACAUGAAGAGAAUUCAACAUUUGAUUCACACGGAAAAAAUUUGUGAGGAUUGUGAGGGUUGAUGGAAUAUAAUUUAGAUACAAAGUGUUUUACCAGUGCGAUGCUUCGCAAGUGUUCUUGAAUCAAUAUAAACUCACGUUAUUUUCAUAGUGAUUGUUUCAUGUGCACGUGGAUAUAAUCACAUGUCGAGAUUUUUUUCCUUAAAUUAUGGUCUUAUUUAGUAUUAAGGUGUUAUAUCUUUUAAGGUACAAUUAUUGUUGGAAAAAAGUUGCAUCUAUCAAAUAAAAUUAGUACUAUGUGCUAAAUAUAAUUGUUAAAUAAUAAUUUUGACAAAAUUAGUGAAGUUAUAUAGAUUUUUUUUCAUCAUACAAGCAUAAAAUCAAAUCAACUUAACUUCUAAGUUAUAUAUCGGCUACUUAGGGAUGGCAAUGGAUUGGAUCUGACCCAAGAUCCACGUGAUCCAAAUCUAAUCGGAUCGGAUUUGGGUCAGUUUAAAAUGAAUUUGGAUCGGAUUUGGAUAUUGAUGUGCGGAUCUAAGACGGAUCUGGAGCAGGUCUGGAUCUAUCUUAGUAUCUAAAUCCAUAUCCAUAUCCACCCAUCUUUUAAUUUAAUUUUAUUUUAAAAGUUUCUUAACAAUUGUGGAAUUAUAAUGAUAAUGAAUUUUAUUCAUAGCAUAUUAGUGGUAUUUACCAUGCAUUUAAACUCUUUAAAAUUAAAGGUUAGUUUUGUAAAUUUAAAGACUAGCCAGGCCCAAAGCAUGUACAUGCAAUAUUCAAAUUGCAAGCCAAGUAAUACAACCUGGCAAUUUAUUUUAUUAUAUUGGCCAAAUAAUUUUUAAGGAAUAUAGGUAUUCAUAUAUUUUGUCAAAUAUGGUCAUAAUAAAAAUAAUAAAGGACUGAAUAUAAAUCAUAUUUUAUUUAUAUGUCAUUAUCUAAUAUUAUAAGAAUGAGGGUGGGUGUGUUGUAGAUAUUAGAAUGAUGAAUGAGACAAUAGAAUAUUAGAUUGAUCUUACUCCUGCAAUUACUUUUAAAGGAUAUUUUAUUAUCUUAUUUGUUGUUUUGGUGUAAAAGUAUAAGUUACAAUAUUUAUUAUAUUUUUGAGAAAAAUUAUAUAAUUUAUUUGUUAUCAAUACAUUUUAACCUUCAAUUUUCAUUCUAAAAAAUUAUUACUUUUUAAUUGAUGAGUUUUAGAAUUCAUGACAGAUCUAGAGCAGAUUUGGAUUUUAAUUUUUUUUUUCAGAUUUGGAGCAGAUAUAAAUAUUUAUUUCUUUUAUGGAUAUGGAUAUGGAGCGAAAAAUAUAGAUUCAUGAUGGAUCUGGAGCAGAUACGGAUCUUGAUUUUUAUUAUGGAUUUGGAUCUGGAGCAGAGUAGAUCCAACCCAUAUCUGCCCCAUUGCCAUCCCUACGGCUACUGUUAAUCAUAUGUUUUAGUUCUGUAACUUUUAAGUUAUAGUUACCCAAUCUCAAUUCUAAACCAGACCUAUAAAGAUCAAAGAUUUCCUCAUUAAAUUAUAUGUCUUGUGAUUGCUUAUUUAAUUUAUAUUUUUUUUUAUUUAUCUUUAUUAAUUAUAAUCAUCUUUUUAUAAAUUAAAAUUGAAGGAAGUUGAUUGAUGUUGUUGACACACGCACACACGCACACACUCACAAAGAUAUAUUGGAAGUGCUUACGUCGACUCGAAGUUGUUGGGAAUUAAUGCAUGUAUUGAUUUAUUGGGAGUGUUUAAAUGAUUUUUUGAUUUACUUGAUUUAUUGAUUGAAUAUUGUUUGAUUGCUUCAUAUCCAUUCUAGAAAGUUUAUUUCUUUGUGAAAUUUCAACGAAAUAUGUUUUUUUUUUUAAAUAAGGGUGUUCUAAAUAAUUUAAAAAUAUAUAUGGACUAAUUAGAAUUAAUUAUUAGGUAAUUAACUCAAUCUGUAUAGGGUGAAACAACAUUUAUCCUAAUUAUAUCAUGAUAAAUACUUUUCCUAUUAGAAUUAGGAAAUCAUAGGUUUAUUGAAUUGUUUUUUUUUUUCCUUUGCGGAAACGGAUUAGAGAAUUAGAAAACAAUCAUGUUGAUGUCAAAAUCUGAUCUAGUCGGUUAGCGACUUAAUAUCAUAUUACUGCACCAACAUUAAAUUUAUUGGGUGGAGAAUCGACUGGUCAAUUGUCAAGAUGUCCUGCAAUCACUAGCGAUUAACCUACGAAUACCUAAAAUCACAGAAGACGGUAAGAGGCACCGGAAGUUUUUUCGGCGUGAACCUUCCGACGCUCAAGUCAGUUUAUAGGUUUACCAUAAUAAAAAUAAAUAAUUUCUAUUUAAAAAAAAAUAGAGUUCAAAAGCUCAAAAAUAAAACCCAAUCCCAAUAUGAAAAUGAAUUUUUUUUUUUUUUUUUCUAGCUUGGCCGAAUCCUUCUGCCUCCUAAAGAAACAUAACAGAGAAGCAGGUAGCCAUGUUCCCUAGGUAACGCCCCACUCCCCUCUUUUAUUCCUCCCCCUCUCUUCCGUUUCCUUCUUUUGCUCACUAUCCUUCAUAAUUUUUUAUGCUUGUCUUCCCAAAAUAGCCUUUUAAUACACAAGUAAAUGUCUAGGCUUUGGUGAGGAUAGUUUGGUCAUUGCAUUUUACAAGUAAGAUGAGUGGUGGAGAAAAAUGAGGAGUGCACAUAUAACGCUUCAGCAAAUCCCACCAGCAAUUCCAUUUUCUUAAUUAAUUAAUCUCUUCAGCAAAUCCCACCAACUCUUCAGCAAAUCCUAAUGAUAUUAUUAUCAGGUUUAAAACAGUACACAAAUAGUGAAAAGCUAACUAGUCUGUAGAGUAAUUUGCUAAUUGCUAUCUCCUCUCUCCGCGCGCUGAAUAAUUUGUUGCAUGCAAACUUUUUAUUUUAUGCAAAUCGUACGUACUGUAACAUUGGAAUUGAUGUAAAAGCAAAAAUACAAGAAUAUUUAUGUCAAUAAAAAUAGUUUUUUUGGCCUUUUUAAAUAAACACAACGCGAUAUUGCUCUGCUCUACAUUUUUGCUAUCUCUUUAUUCUUCUUUUUUUUUUUGGGCUUCUUAAAGCCUCAAACUUUGAUAACCAAAACUUCAUCGACCUAUGAAAAAAUCUGCAGAUUAGUUUUUAUUAUCGGAAUAAUCAUUUGAGAAUACUAAAACAAAAUAUAAAUAAGAAAAUAGGAGGUUAAAUUAGAGGGGGGAAAAAAGGUAUGUUGGAUAGAUUACUAUAGUUUAAGAAAAAAAAAUCCAAUUGGGAAUUUUUUUCUUUAAUUUUUGUUUUACUUGAUUGAGAUUUCUCCUUGGUCCUUACAGUUUUAAGUUUGGAUGCCGUAGGGUUAGUAAUUUAGUACUUCCUUUGCAAGCUGAGUGCAAGAAUGAAAAUCUUUAAAGAAAUAAAAAAAAAAAAAAAAAGCAUACCAAUAGGUAAUUAUAAAUAACCAUACAUAAACAUAAACAAAAUGAGGUAAUUAUUAAUAUUAUUUUUUGUUUUAUUUCUUACUUGUCUAUUUUAUUUGCUGCUUGAUAACCCGUAAAUACUAAUCUAGUACUGCUAAUUUCAGACACAAAAUUUUUAACUCUAGGCUGCAGUUUUACUCAAAAUGAUGACCACUGGCUUCGCACCAUUUAACCGGCAUACAUUUCUACAAAUUGAACAAGGCUAUUGAUUUUCAUUAUUAUUUUUUAUUUUUUUAUAAAUUACUAUUUUAAUUUUCACUUUUCAUUGGGUUGUUUAACGGAUUAGUGAAGUUGGUGGUCGUGAUGCACUCACAAGGUACAAUUUUAUUUUAUAAUUUCAAAUUUGUAUUUUAAAAUGCAGGUACAUUAUGUAUACAUAAUUAUUGAUUUUCGUAUGUGGGUGUUUUGAAAUAUUGCUAAAAGACCAAACUUUAAUAAACUAUUUUUCAUCUUUUUUUUUUCCUAAAGUUUAAGUGAUAUCCGCAUUUUAAAUUCAUGUGGAACAAAAGCUAAUGUAUGCACAAAAUCCUUUUAUUUUUUCCGAGAAAAAUGGUUAAGAGAAGAAGAUUUUUCUCUUGAAAAAGAAAAACUAAUACGAUGCAAGCAUAGGAAAGAGGUCAGUGUUUUGGAUUAGAAUUUAGUAUUGAGCUGAAUUUUAUACUAAACUCUUUUAUAGUACUGCGAUUAAUAAACUCAUGAUUUGCUUUUGCUUUUACCUCAAGUGAAAGAAAGAGGAAACCUUUUGUUUUUUGUUUGAUUCUUGACUAUAGGUGUUACCUAUAUAGAGAGUUGAGGUAGCUGCCUUAAGUGAUGGUGAUAAAAAGAUUAAGCAGCGCACACAAUCUUACUGUCGUCCAGACCAUCCAGCUGUGAUGACUCUUGUUUUUUGGUUACAUUAGCUUUAGUGGAACGGAGGGCCAAUUUAACAAAGACUAGAUUUGGUGGCUUACUAUAAUGCUUAUUCUCAGGGAAUCUAAUGUUAUAAGAUGAUUUAAUGAUCUUCUAUGAUUGUGAGUAGUAUAGUAUAAUUGAAAAGAGCUUGGGCUCCUAUGAUGAAUAUUUAAUAGUAACACAGUACUGUUAUUGAAAAAAACACAGUUACAAUAAACUCUUCAUUUAUUCAUUGUGGAGAUUGAAUGGCAAACAGAGAAUAAAAUGAAGCAGAGGAAUCUCAUUGCCAGUAAAAUUGACCCUCUUUAAUGUUAUAUGGCACAGGUGUGUGUACAGCAAGAUCAAGUUACUUGCAGUUUUUAUUGUAAAAUAUAUAGGUUAUGACCAUGAUCAUUGUAGUUAGGUUUUGAUGAUUUUAGAUGCUUUUUUUAUUUUUUUUAAAAUUGUGACACCUUUGAUUUAUGGUAGUUUUGCAGAAGAAAAAAAUAUAUAUAAAAAUUAGGAGGGAUGAGUUAACUAACGAUUGCAAUCAUUACAGUAAUGUUGAUGAGUGAUACAUCAUUUGAAAUUUACUUGUCAGUUGCUGAAAUGAUGAAAAAAAACAGUAAACAAUAGCAGUAAUAUUUUUUGGCAAUAUAAAAAAUUAUUGCGGUUAUUUUUUGGCAAUAUAAAAAAAUUUUAGCAAAUAAAAAUUAAUUUUUUUCCGAUUAACUAAAAAAUUAAUUAAAAACUUCUGCGAUGGCAUUUUUUAUGGGUGCAUAUACCCUCCCUUUAAAAGAAAAAAUAAUAAUUAAUACUUAAUAUAGUAUUAAAUACGAAAAUAUCAAUAUUUGACUACACAAAUUUAAUAGUCUUGUGUAAUUAGUGAGUGAGAGAUUGGGUGUAUUGGAGUUUUGGGUAGUGAGCCAAAAUAUUACAAUACUUGUAAUCUUUAUUUCACUAGUGAAAUAUUUUCCUUCUGUUUUUGCCCGUGGACGUAGGCUAAAAGCCGAACCACGUAAUUUCUGGUGUCCUCUAUUGUACUUGUUCUUUAUUUGCUUCCAAUUUUAUUUUAACUGCGCGUCUGCUUCACCCAUCAAUUUCCUAACAAAUCUUGAUCCCAUGCACACGCAAAUAUGUUAAUUUCUAUACGCUUCACUUACCUGUAGAAUCAAUUAUCUAAAAUGCAAGUUUGUGGCCACAAAAAAAGCCAAAGAAAGAAGAUAAUAACAAUUGACUUGUAUAUUAUACUCAUACAAUCCACUCGACAUAAUGAUAUCAUUUUAAUAAGGCAAUGGCUGAUGAUCUCCAUUGAAAAACUAAUUCAAUUUUUUUGCUUCAUUUAACUUUUUGGUUGUUGAAAAUAACCUUAAUUAUCAAAUAAUUGGAGAAAGAGUAAAGAACAUUUAACAAAUUUAUGUGCAAAAAAAAAAAAAAAGAAGUUGAAGAGAAAGGGUGCUUGCAGAAGUGGGUGUCAAAGAAACAUCGGUCCAUAAGAAUUAUUGCGGUUAUUUUUUGGCAAUAUAAAAUAUUUAUAGCAAGUAAAAAUUAAAUUUUUUCCGAUUUACUAAAAAAUUAACUAAAAACUUCUGCCACAACAUUUUUUAUGGGUACAUAUACCCUCCCUUUAAAAAAAAAAUAAUAAUUAAUGCUUAAUAUAGUAUUAAAUACCAAAAUAUCAAUAUUUGGCUACUCAAAUUUAUAUCAUUAGGUCCUUAAAAUUAAAAAUUGAUGAUACAAAAGGAAAUAUAUAUAAAUUUCAUUCUCAUGGAAAGGAUUCUCUUAUAAUCUUAUAAUAUUUGAGUUUUGAAAUUUUUUGAAGCAAAUGUAAUUUUAUUUGUGUACAAUCAAUAUUUACUUAUUUAUUAUAUUUUAAUUUGUUAACUAUCAAUCAUUUAAGUAUAUUUAGUCAGAAAAAUUAUAUCAAGAGAGAAUCCUAAUUUCACGCAAACACAAAUACAAGAUAAAUAUGUCAAUUUCUAUACUAUCCACUUUCCUGUAGAAUCAAUUAUCUAAAAUGCAAGUUUGUGGCUACCGAAAACUCGCCAAAGAAAGAAGAUAAUAACAAUUGAGCAUUGAUAGCAAAACUAAUGCAUCAUUUUCUUCUUGACUUGAUGAGAUGGUGCCAUUACAAAAAAAAAAGUACCUUAAUUGACGGGCACUGAGUGAUGUGAAUACUACCAGCCAGUUCAUCUCUUCCAGUCUUGCUUAAUCACAAUCACAAACACCACGAGAUUGACAUUUGCAUUAUAUAUAUCUUCAGCAAUCGAAACACCUUGCAUUACCAAAUUAACCGGUAACAAACAAAGCAAUCUUUCAUGGAGAGAAACUUUAGUCUCAGUAUGAUCACUUUGUCAUUAACCCACUACCUGCUUCUUUGCUUGGUUGUUGCAGCAGCAGCAGCCGCAAGCAACAAUAUUACCACAGACCAACAAGCUCUUCUUGCCCUGAAAGAUCAUAUAACUUAUGAUCCAACCAACCUUUUUGCCCAUAAUUGGACCUCGAAUACCUCUGUUUGUACCUGGAUUGGCAUCACUUGUGAUGUCAAUAGCCAUAGAGUCACAGCCUUAGAUAUUUCUCAAUUCAAUCUACAAGGCACCAUCCCUCCUCAACUUGGAAACCUUUCUUCACUUACAACGCUUAAUCUUAGUCAUAACAAGCUUUCUGGAGACGUUCCAUCCUCCAUCUACACCAUGCAUUCGCUAAAAUUUCUUGACUUCACUGAUAACCAGCUCUCUGGUUCAGUGUCUUCCUUCGUCUUCAACAUGUCUUCAAUAUUAGAAAUUCUUUUGACCAAUAACAGAUUUUCUGGUGAGCUUCCGAAAAAUAUUUGCAACUAUCUUCCUUAUUUGAAAGCCCUUUUCUUAAACAAAAACAUGUUUCAUGGCAAAAUUCCUUCUGCUUUAUCAAAGUGCAAACAACUGCAAAAAUUAAAUUUGCAGUUCAAUAAUUUAUCCGGUGCAAUACCGAAAGAAAUCGGCAACUUGACUAUGCUCAAAGGCAUAUAUCUCGAAUACAACAAACUCCACGGUAUGUUCAUAAUACUAUGUAAAUGUUUUAAUUUCUCAAUUGUUAUUUUCUUGAAUACUUUAGACAAGAUCUUGUAAGGGAGAUAUUUUUGGAUCUGUGUUAAUUUGCCAGGUGAGAUACCCCACGAAAUCGCUAAUCUUCGAAAUCUAGAGGAUUUAUUGCUUGGAAUGAACAACCUAGUUGGUGUGUUACCAGCUCCAAUCUUCAACAUGUCAACACUGAAAUUAUUUGACCUCAUAAAUAACUCUCUCUCCGGAAGUCUUCCAUCAAGAAUAGACCUUUCACUUCCAACUGUUGAGUUUUUUGGCUUGGCACUUAAUAGAUUUUCUGGAACCAUUCCUAGUUCCAUCACCAAUGCUUCUAAGCUCACCGUUCUAGCGUUGGGAGAGAACACAUUUUCGGGCUUCAUUCCAAACACAAUUGGUAAUUUAAGAAACCUUGAGUGGCUCAGCUUGGAGAAUAAUUACUUGAAAUCUUCAACCUCAAAAUUGAGCUUUCUUUCCUCUUUGGCAAAUUGCAAGAAAUUAAGAUUCUUAAACUUAGCAGGCAAUCCACUUGACGGCUUCCUUCCAAGUUCAAUAGGUAAUCUUUCUGUGUCUUUGGAAACACUUUUCAUCGGCAAUUGCAGUAUUAGUGGCAACAUUCCUCAAGCAAUUAGCAAUUUAAGCAACUUGUUGACCUUAGUAUUAGAAGGCAAUAAAUUGACUGGACCAAUUCCAAUUACAUUUGGCCGACUACAGAAACUCCAAGGCUUAGAUCUUGCAUUCAAUAAGUUGGUAGGUUCAUUCCCAGAUGAGCUUUGCCAUCUAGCAAGGCUGGAUCAAUUGGUCUUAUUUGGCAAUAAGCUUUCAGGAUCUAUACCUUCAUGCCUAAGUAAUCUCACUUCUCUAAGAUCUCUCUACUUAGGGUCCAAUAGGUUAACUUCUGUUAUUCCCUCAACUUUCUGGAGCCUAAAAUACAUCUUGUUCUUUGACUUUUCAUCAAAUUUCUUGGUUGGUACUCUUUCUUUCGACAUAGGUAAUUUGAAGGUGCUUCUAGGAAUAAAUUUAUCAGAAAAUAACUUAUCGGGUGAUAUGCCAGCCACAAUUGGAGGACUGAAAGAUCUUCAAUUUAUGGACCUAGCAUUUAAUAGAUUGGAAGGCCCAAUUCCUGAAUCAUUUGGUGACUUGACAAGUUUGGAGGUUUUGAAUUUGUCAAAAAAUAAAAUCUCUGGGUCUAUUCCAACAUCCAUGGAGAAACUCAUUUACCUUCGAGAGUUAAAUCUCUCUUUCAAUAAACUUGAAGGUGAGAUUCCUAGUGGAGGAAUUUUUACCAACUUCACAGCUGAGUCAUUUAUGGGAAAUGAGUUAUUGUGUGGUUUACCAAAUCUUCAAGUCCAACCAUGCAAACUUAGCAAGCCUAGGACAGAACAUAAAUCAAGGAAAAAGAUACUUCUCAUUGUGAUUGUUUUGCCAUUGAGUAUUGCUCUAACGAUAGCAAUCACUCUAGCUCUCAAAUCUAAGCUGAUCGAAUGUAGAAAAAGAGGCACAGAGUUAUCAAAUGAUAGUAUCUUGUCAUCAGAAGCAACACUAAGAAGAUUUUUAUACUUAGAACUUUUACAAGCAACAGAUAAUUUUGCUGAAAACAACAUAAUUGGCAGAGGAGGUUUUGGUUCCGUUUAUGGAGCAAGACUUGAAGAUGGGAUGAAGAUUGCAAUAAAAGUGUUUCACCAGCAAUGUGCAAGCGCAUUGAAGAGUUUUGAGGCUGAAUGUGAAGUGUUAAAAAAUAUUCACCAUCGAAACCUUAUCAAAGUUAUCAGCAGUUGCUCGAACGAUGACUUCAAAGCAUUAGUCCUAGAAUACAUGUCCAACGGGAGCUUGGAGGAUUGGCUGCAUUCUAGCAAUUAUGUGCUGAAUAUAUUUCAGAGGUUGAACAUAAUGAUUGACGUUGCAUCAGCUUUAGAAUAUCUCCACUUCGAUCAUUCAACUGCUAUUAUUCAUUGUGACUUAAAGCCUAGUAAUGUAUUGUUGGACGAAAAUAUGGUUGCUCAUUUGAGUGAUUUUGGCAUAGCAAAGCUUUUAAGUGGAGAGGAUGAGUCUACGAUACGAACAAAAACCCUUGCCACUCUAGGUUAUAUGGCACCAGGUUUGCUUCAAACAACUUUCGUUUUUAGUUCAUUUUAAAUUUUCCAACUUAUUGAUUUUUACAAUCCUCACAUCAAAAUGUUAUUGAUUAUUUAUCUAAUUGUGAAAUUAAUUUGAUUCAUAGAGUAUGGCAUAGGAGGAGAAGUAUCUACAAAAAGUGAUGUUUAUAGCUAUGGGAUUAUGUUGAUGGAAACUUUUACCAAGAAAAAACCCACAGAUGAAAUUUUUGUUGGAGAAUUGAGCUUAAAGCGUUGGGUUAAUGACUUGCUUCCUAAUUCAUUAGUGGAAGUUGUGGACAAAACUCUGCUAAGUGGAGAGGAAAAACAUUCUGCAGCAAAGGAGCAAUGUCUGUUGUCUAUCUUUAGUUUGGCUCUGGAGUGUACAAUGGAAUCACCGGAAAAGAGGAUUAAUGCAAAAGAUAUUGUUACCGGAUUACUCAAGAUAAGAGACACAUUGAGUAAAAGGAUAGGAAAUUUAAGUUAAUUUCGUUUGCUUUCAUUGAUAGUUAAUUCGAAUUCAUGUAAUAAGUGUAAGAACCUUAUAUCUUUUACUUUGAUUUUUUUUUUCUUGAGAAAACUGUUGUAGUCAUCUUGUUUCCAUGGGCGGAGUUGAUUUAGUUCUUCCAAGAAAUGCUACUGAUGACAUUUGUUUUAUACUUUCUCUUUUUUUUUGCAUGUGUUUAGGUAGAAUAGUGGUUUGGUUGCACUCUAAGAAGUCUAACUACACUAAAAGAAUAUGAUUUAAUUUAUUAAACAAAACUUCAAGUUCAAGAAAAGUAUCUCAUUGCCCCCAAUGCUUUGGACACCUAUUGGUAGGUUUGUACGUGUCCUCAACUUUUUUUUGGAGCACAAAAUUCGAGUCCCAUAAAGGCUCAAACAUUCCUUUCCUUCAUCCCGAGGGCGCCUUCUGUCCUCUGUUUUCUGUUUCCACACACAAAUAGCAAAAAGAAAUUAGAAUGACAACUGGGACAUAUAUAAGAGUGAAAUAAUUAAAAAAAUUAUGCUUUUUUGUCUGUCGUGUUAAAAUCGUAAGUACCGAAGUACUGUGAAAGAGAUUAAUUUACAGAAACUGAAGCCAAG